GUAGAGAUCCAUGGCAUUGUCUAAUGGAUCAUAGUUUUCUUGGGAUGAAUGGGAUAAAAAAGUGAGCUAGAACUUUGCUUGACUCAUACAAUUAAAAAAUGAAAUCAAGAACAGCUGAAAAGAAACGUGCUAUGUUCCUAUAUUGGAAAAUUGUGAUCUAUUGCCCAACUUCCAUACCUUAGGCAGUUAUCAUACUCAGAGAGCAUCAACUGAAGGAGAAAUUGUGUCCCAUAUAGGACACAGGAUCGGAAAUGAUACUGGUAUCAAAGAAUCUAAAAAUACCUUCAUGAGUUCUUAGCGUGGCCAGGUGAAUAAUGAGUCCUGGCCCAGAUCUAUGAUUCAGCAUAUACAGUAGGUCCACAGACUCAGUAUGUCCCUAGUCAUUGUGUGCAUAAUUGGGAUUGAUUUUUUUUUUUAGCAGAGGAAGAAUGCUCACUUUGUUUCUCUGACCUAUGGAGUAAGAACCAUUAUGGUAAAAGGGUUCAGUUAAGUGAAACCGCUUGACUUCUGCUAUUCUAAUGUCCUAUCACCUCUGAAAUAGUUUCUUUCAGUCGUUACAAUAAGUCAGAGCCACACUGCAUUCUUGGUGGAAUUGCAGAAAUUAAUAUUAUUUUUGAGUAUACAAAGACUACAGAAGUGAAGGUGUCCAUAAUAUUUCUGUUCAGUUCACUGAUACCAUUCGUGAAAAGUGGAUGGUUGAAAGCUAAUCAUAGUGAAUCAAGUCAAGUGAUAGUCCCCAAAGUAUGGUUUUACUGGAGUGUAGUAUCGCAGGUCUGGGUCUAGCCUAUGGAACUUAGUACGUGGCUGCUGAUUUGGCAAAUGUUUCUUUUCCAAUCUGAAAAAAGAGGAUCAAAGCAGCGAACAUUUACACAGGAAAGUCAGCAAAAUAUAUUCCAUGCUGCAAGUUUAUGUUAACUCUCCUGCUUUCUGACACAGUAUCAUAGGAAGGGACCUUUGAACAUCUUGAUAUUCUACAGAAACACCAGAGUAUUCCUUUUGCUGACAAUGUCAUGUCAAUUGGGCUGUUGUACAAGAAGUGAGAAGAAAUCUGAAUACUAUGGCAAGACCCAUGGGUGCCAUUGCUUAGGAGUGAAUCCUUCAGUGAUUUAGGGGCUGCCAUAAGUAUGAAAUUUGUAGGGCUCCAAUGAUUUUGACUAUAUAGGGAUAUGCUUUUUAAAGUAAUGCAAAGGCUGAGAUCUAGCUGAGUGAUAAAAUACUUCCCUAGCAUUCAUGAAGCCUUGGGUUCAAUCUUUAGCACUGAAAAAAAAGUCUGCCUUUCAGCCAGGUGUGGUGGUGCAGUGUACACCUGUAAUCCCAGCACCUGGGUGGCUGAGGCAGGAGAAUCACUGCUAGUUCAAGGUCAGCCUGAGCUACAUAGUGAAUUCAAGCCCAGCCUGAACUUCAUAGUGAGACCUUGUCUCAAAUCCUCCCCCCUGAAAUAAAGUAAAGCUAAUGUUAUUCUACUUUGAACUUCCUAACACCCCCCCCACACACACACUCACACACACGCACACACACAAAGCAUAGCACAGUAGCAGUGAGCCUCUGUUAGUCAGCUUUCCCUUCACUGGGACAUAAUACCUUAUACCUCAAACUUAAAGUAGGAGAAGUUAAUUUGGUUAACAGUUUCUGGGGAUUCAGUCCAUGGCCAGGUGGCUCCAAGGCAGAAACAUUAUGGCCGAAAGGUGUGACAGGGCCAAGAAGCUUGUUUCAGGGUGUUGGGGAAGUACAGCAGGGGAACAGUGCCAAAAAAGAUGUGAAGGAUUAGCUAUAGUACUCAAGGCAUGCCUCUGUUACCCACUCAGACACACCCAGCAGUGUGCCCCUCCAGUCCUCUCAGUGGCUUCCAAGCCAUUGAAGUUGACACAGUCAAGCUUAACCAUCACAGCCUCUUUGAGUUUUGGAAGCAGUAAAAUUAUACUUGAAAGUACUUCUCUGAGCUGUUAGCUAAACUGGGAGAUUGUAUCUAGAGUAACACUCAGAGUGGGAAAAAAGGCUCAAAAGGAGGUUGUAAGACCAGGCAGCCUAUAGAAUUAGGAGUAAUCAUGCUGUGCAGGGAUGAUGUGUGGUAUUUCAGGAAAGCACUGACAAGAGCUUUACAAGGAAGACCUCCAGGAUUGGCACAGCUGUAACUUCUGCAUUGGAGAAGUACUCUUAAAAAUCCACCUCUAGAACACUAUUAUAAAACAAAUUGAGUACCCAGCCACGGAGAUGUCAAAUAAGUAUGGACUUUAUUAUGAGUUAUACCCCCCACCCCAAGUCAUAAUGCAGAGAAGAUGAAGUUACAGUAUUGUUUGGUGGAAAUAGUACAUUUGGGAGCAGGUAAGAGGACAUGGAAUGUGAUAGGAAUAAGAGAUCUGACCUCCAUGUUACUUAACUUCCUUUACACUCAUUUAUCUCUCUCAGCUCACCCAUAUGGCUUCUCAUGAGUUCCCUAUGAAUAACUUAACAGAGGAGAAGAAUAUGUAGCCUGGUUUUUAGGUGGGUUGGCUCCAUAUAUUGGUGAUAUUGGUGAGCUGCGACCGCAGGUUGGCCCUACUUGGAGAGUAGCCUAGAUGAGGUGCGGGUGCUCCCUAUGGGUGGAGCUCCGAAUGCUACACUUGGUAGAACACAAGUGCUGUGAGUGCUGGCAAAUGAGUUGGUUGGUUGUUCAGGGGCCAGAAAGGAACAAGAUUGAAGGUCUGGAGAAGAAGAAAGUGGAUGGAGUGGUGAGAGUGGGCACACAAGUUUUUGUGUUCAAAGCAGUGUCAGAGAGCAUUCCUGGGAGAGAGGGCAUUUGACAAUAAGUUGGGUACAAAAUGAUGCAUGUAGAGGAUGUUAGCCUCUGUCCAUGCUUGGGCUAUAGGCCCAAGAAUGGAGUAGCCAUGUGUUUCACUUACCUAUUACCAUAUAACAAACUCUAACCAAAUACAAGGCCUUAAAAGAACAGUGGUUCUUGUAAAAAAAAAAAGUUUGUCAUGAUUCUGUGGAAUAAACAGGUGCUUUCAAAAAAUAAAAAAAACAAACAGGUGCUUUCUCCGCACUACUGGAUUCUAGGUAGACUAAAGUUGCUGACUAGGAGCUGUGGGGCUCCUUCACAAAGCUCCUCUACCUAGCUAGCUUGGGCUUCCUCAUGGCAUGUAGGUUUCAGAGUAGACCUUUCCCCUGGUGGCUGGCUUCUAAGAAGAAGUAGAAAAAUGGAAGCUACAUGUUUCUUACUGCUGAGAAGCCAUUCCAAAGCAUAGUGGUUCAAAACCAAAAUGAUUUAUUAUUUCUCGUCCUUCUUUUGGUUAGGGAUUUGGUCCAGGCUGGGAUGGAUGGUUAUCUGCUCCAUAUGAUGUUAGACACUUCUUUAAUUGGUGGCCUGUUUGGGUCUUUAGGGUCAGGAAAUCUUCAUUCACCUGUCUGGCUUCUCAGUGUUUCUUUUUUUUUUUUUUUUUAAAUGUGUUCAGGAUCAUCAUUCAUUUAGCCCAAGAUUUUAUGCAGCAUAAUAUGAGUUUAUAUUCCCUGCCCACAGUGCUUCUAUCAUUAUUAGUGUCUUUCCACUUUCUGUACCUGACAUGGAUCCUUUGUAGCAUUGUUUUGGACCAGAGCACCCACUUGAGAGGGCAAAGGAUGUGUGACCAUAAGCUCAUGAUCACAAGAUCCACAGUUAUACAAUAUAACACAUUGCUUGGAAAUAAGGCUUGAUAAAAUAUAGGAAUGGCUCAGUAAGGCUUAGUUAAGAGGAGAGGUUGUGGACAAUACUAUGUGGACUUAGGCCACUGUCUUCCACUUCUGAGGUGCAUGAUACCAGGUUCCUCAGUAGGCUCAGAACUGUAAUGGGUUACCUACAGAUGUAACCAGCCCAAAACAGAUCCUCUAAUGCCUAUUCUUUCUUCAUUCCCUUAAUCUUCCAUCUUGCUUACUCUGUUUCCAAAAGUUAUCUUUCAAAUGAGCUACCUGACAGUGUCUAUAUCUCAGGCUCUAGUUCAGACAAAAUCCAUACUUAGGCACUUUUUAGGAUAUGCUACUUUUUGUGAUUAUGACAAAAAUGAAAAUUAACAUUUUUAGCAUAUGAAGUGUUUUUAUUUUUUUUAAGUAGAUUCUUUGAAUUGGAAUUUUUGGAUUAAAAUGUGUGGAUUGGGGCUGGGGAAUUGGCUUGGUGGUUCUGCCACCUGCCUUGCAAGCACAAGGACCCAAGUUCGAUCCCUGGUACCAAAAAAAAACAAACAAAAAAACCCCCAUAAAAUGUGUGGAUUGAGUUUAAGCCUCUUGCCCAAACUGUCAGUUAAGAAUAGUGUAGUAAUUUGUAUUAUUUUUACAAGUAUAUGUGGUUAUAUUUCAUUUUCUUUGUUAAUUUUCUAUUUUGGACAUUUCAAGAAAACAGCUUGUGAGAUCUGUGGCUUAUUUUGAAAGUCAUAAAGUAAGAUUGACAUGAAAUGAUGGUUCUCAAGUCAUAUCAUUAGGAAAGUUCACUCCUUUCUCACUGAGAGAGAGUAGGAAAAGGAAAAAGGCUAACCACAAGUAUCCUUCAAAAGAAAUUCCCAGAAAAAAGUUAAUGUAUAUGAAAGUCAUAAUCAUAGGGAUCUGAACAUUUUCUGAUAAAUUAUUUCCAUCAAAUUGCAGUGGGUUUUAGAGGGCCAAAUUAAAACCUUGUCUCACAUAAGGGCUUUACUAGGCAGCAAAAUAUAAGUUAAACCUGUUGUCUUUUUAUUUUAUUUUAUUUUUUGGUAUGGGGGAUCGAACUCAGGUCCUUGUGCUUGUGAGGUAGGCAAUGGAACCACUGAGCUAAAUCCCCAGCCCCUGUUGUCUUUUAAUAAGGGUAGAUUGUGGUUAACACGUGCAUGUAGAAAGUAAAAAAAGAAUAAGCUAAAUUUUUUUCCUUAAGGUUUAUACCGUUCUUUUCUCUUUCUGGAUAUAACCCACAUCCUUUAGGUGAAGAAAAAUUGACCUUAAAAACAGUUGACUUUUCUGGUAAAGCAGUGUUCCUCUUUGCAACGAGAAACCUCAAAUUUGAAGCCCAGUUAUUUAGUUGAUAUCAAAGAGUUAUUUUUAAAAUGAGUUCCUGUAAAACAUUGUGUGAAAAAUUUUAAGGGAGAGUGCACAAGUACCCCACUAGUUUUAUUUUAGUGUUUCUAAACUUUAGCCUUAGCUGCUACUUCUAAGGUCAACAAAUUAUAGGGGACUGGAGAGUUUUAAAACCAGCAUACCACCCACAUUACUUAAACAUUUGUCAUUUUUUAGAAAAAGAAGUUUUGUUUCAAGUGGACGUCUAUUUCUUAUUUUUCCCAAAGUCUCAAGUUGAUGGAAAGUGUACUUUACAAAAUAAUAAUCCAUGAGUUUCUGGAUAAUGAAGAGAGAUAUCAACAGAUAAUCAGAAGAACUGGAGAAUUCUUGAAUGAUAGAAAGCAGAACAUGCUAUAUGGGUGGGAAAAAAUCAGAAGAAUAGAAGAACAAAAGAAUGACAAUGGCAAGAAUUUAAGAUUAUUUAUUGGCAUGAGAACUCAGCGCAACAAAGGAAACAGAGUGAGGAGACACCUGCAAAAAUAGAAUAUAUUUGCAAACUUUUCCCCUGAAAAGGGUUAAUAUCUAGAUAAACAAGAAACUCAAACAACUCAACAGCAAAAAAGAAAAUAACUUGAUUAAAAAGUGGGCAAGAGACCUAGAUACAUACUUCUCAAAAGAGGCCAUAUGGUGGUCAACAGGUAUAGGAAGAAAUACUGAACAUCAUGACUCUGCAGGAAAUGCAAAUCAAAGCUACAGUGAAGCUGGGCAUGGUGGCACAUGCCUUUAAUCCCAGCUACUCUAGAGGUGGAGGCAGGAUUGCAAGUUCAAGCUAGCCUGGGCAAUGUAGGGAGAUCCUAUGUCAAAAAAAAAACAAAAAACCCCAAAACCAAACUAAAAUAAAGGAAAAAAAACCGAAAACAAUUUUACAAUGAGAUAUCACCUCCCCUUAAUUUAAAUGGCUACUCUCAGAAAGAUAAAAAUAACAAAUGCUGGCAUGGACACAGAGAAAUGGAAACUUAUAUUCAUUCCUGGUAGAAAUGUAAAUGGGUACAGCCAGUAUGGAAAACACUGUAAAGUUUCUACAAAAUACUUAAGGUAGAACUGCCAUAUGAUGGAGCAACCUCACUACUGGGUAUUUAUAUACAAAAGGAAAUGAAAUCAGUAUGUUGAAGAAAUAUCUGCAUUCCCAUGCUCAUUAUGGCACAAUCCCACAAUAGCUAAGAUGUGAAAUCAUACCAAAUGCCCAUCAACAAAUAGAAAAAGGAAAUGUGGUACGUAUACACAAUAGCAAUUAUUCAGUCUUAAAAAGAAAGAAUUCUGUCAUUUGUAGCAAAUGGAUGAAUCUGGAGAACAUUAAGUGAAAUAAUCAAGGCACAGAAAGACAAAUACUGCAUGAUCUCACUGAUCUGUGCAAGGUAUAAAGCUGGUCUUCUAGAAACACGGAGUAGAGUAGUGCUUUACCAGAGAUUGGGCAGUGGGGAUGUGAUGGUGGGGAGAGGUUGGUCAAUGAAUUCAAAAUUACAGUUAGAUAAGAAUAAGUUAUG
Molecule: long non-coding RNA, 6512 nt
Filed under: Heterocephalus glaber (naked mole-rat)
Lineage: Eukaryota; Metazoa; Chordata; Mammalia; Rodentia; Bathyergidae
Description: lncRNA (ENSHGLG00000050889.1)
Source: RNAcentral